RNAcentral lists this ribosomal RNA (298 nucleotides) under Klebsiella pneumoniae. RNAcentral's name for it is "partial 23S ribosomal RNA". It matches the Rfam family "Bacterial large subunit ribosomal RNA", at positions 1624 to 1903 of the family's 2925-position model. RNAcentral also lists the same sequence under 1 other name. Lineage: Bacteria; Pseudomonadati; Pseudomonadota; Gammaproteobacteria; Enterobacterales; Enterobacteriaceae. The record is from RNAcentral.
GCAUCAGGUAACAUCAAAUCGUACCCCAAACCGACACAGGUGGUCAGGUAGAGAAUACCAAGGCGCUUGAGAGAACUCGGGUGAAGGAACUAGGCAAAAUGGUGCCGUAACUUCGGGAGAAGGCACGCUGGUGUGUAGGUGAAGCCCCUGCGGGUGGAGCUGAGACCAGUCGAAGAUACCAGCUGGCUGCAACUGUUUAUUAAAAACACAGCACUGUGCAAACACGAAAGUGGACGUAUACGGUGUGACGCCUGCCCGGUGCCGGAAGGUUAAUUGAUGGGGUUAUCCGUAAGGAGAA